UACGUAGGGUGCAAGCGUUGUCCGGAAUUAUUGGGCGUAAAGAGCUCGUAGGCGGCUCGUCGCGUCGGCUGUGAAAACCUGGGGCUCAACCCCGGGCCUGCAGCCGAUACGGGCGAGCUAGAAUUCGGUAGGGGAGACUGGAAUUCCUGGUGUAGCGGUGAAAUGCGCAGAUAUCAGGAGGAACACCUGUGGCGAAAGCGGCUCACUGGACCAUAACUGACGCUGAUGCACGAAAGCUAGGGGAGCAAACAGG
This 253-nucleotide ribosomal RNA is filed under the name uncultured bacterium. RNAcentral describes it as "partial 16S ribosomal RNA". It matches the Rfam family "Bacterial small subunit ribosomal RNA", at positions 524 to 776 of the family's 1533-position model. The record is from RNAcentral.